GGGGGCGUCGGCAAGUGGUAAGCCAUGCGGUUUUGGUCCGUAUAUUCGGAGGUUCGAAUCCUUCCGCCCCUGCCA
This 75-nucleotide transfer RNA is filed under the name Chitinispirillales bacterium. RNAcentral describes it as "tRNA-Gln". It matches the Rfam family "tRNA". From Rfam's summary of the family: Transfer RNA (tRNA) molecules are approximately 80 nucleotides in length. Their secondary structure includes four short double-helical elements and three loops (D, anti-codon, and T loops). Lineage: Bacteria; Pseudomonadati; Fibrobacterota; Chitinispirillia; Chitinispirillales. The record is from RNAcentral.